GUCCACGCCCUAAACGAUGAUUACUCGAUGUGUGCGAUAUACUGUACGCGUCUGAGCGAAAGCAUUAAGUAAUCCACCUGGGGAGUACGACCGCAAGAUUGAAACUCAAAGGAAUUGACGGGGGGCCCGCACAAGCGGAGGAGCAUGUGGUUUAAUUCGAUGAUACGCGAGGAACCUUACCUGGGCUUGAAAGUUAGUGAAGCAAGCAGAAACGUUUGCGUCAGAAAUGACACGAAACUAGGUGCUGCAUGGCUGUCGU
RNAcentral lists this ribosomal RNA (259 nucleotides) under uncultured bacterium. RNAcentral describes it as "partial 16S ribosomal RNA". It matches the Rfam family "Bacterial small subunit ribosomal RNA", at positions 793 to 1055 of the family's 1533-position model. The record is from RNAcentral.